This 261-nucleotide ribosomal RNA is filed under the name uncultured bacterium. RNAcentral describes it as "partial 16S ribosomal RNA". It matches the Rfam family "Bacterial small subunit ribosomal RNA", at positions 335 to 593 of the family's 1533-position model. The record is from RNAcentral.
UUUCCUACGGGGGGCAGCAGUGAGGAAUAUUGGUCAAUGGCCGGAAGGCUGAACCAGCCAAGCCGCGUGAGGGAGGAAGGCGCAGAGCGUCGCAGACCUCUUUUGCCGGGGGACAAAAGGCCGGACUCGUCCGGUCCUGAGGGUACCCGGAGAAAAAGCAUCGGCUAACUCCGUGCCAGCAGCCGCGGUAAUACGGAGGAUGCGAGCGUUAUCCGGAUUCAUUGGGCGUAAAGCGAGUGCAGGCGGUUCAAUAAGUCUGAU